Molecule: ribosomal RNA, 451 nt
Filed under: uncultured bacterium
Lineage: Bacteria
Description: SSU rRNA
Rfam family: Bacterial small subunit ribosomal RNA
Source: RNAcentral
AGAGCGAACGCUGGCGGCAGGCCUAAUACAUGCAAGUCGAACGGAUCCUUCGGGAUUAGUGGCGGACGGGUGAGUAACGCGUGGGAACAUACCCUCCGGUUCGGAAUAGCUCAGGGAAACUUGGAUUAAUACCGGAUACGGCCGAGAGGCGAAAGAUUUAUCGCCGGAGGAUUGGCCCGCGUUCGAUUAGCUAGUUGGUGAGGUAACGGCUCACCAAGGCGAUGAUCGAUAGCUGGUCUGAGAGGAUGAUCAGCCACAUUGGGACUGAGACACGGCCCAGACUCCUACGGGAGGCAGCAGUGGGGAAUAUUGCGCAAUGGGCGGAAGCCUGACGCAGCGACGCCGCGUGCGGGAUGAAGGCCUUCGGGUUGUAAACCGCUUUCACCAGGGGCGAAGCGAGAGUGACGGUACCUGGGGAAGAAGCGCCGGCUAACUACGUGCCAGCAGCCGC